CUACGGGAUGCACCAGUAGGGAAUAUUGGACAAUGGGCGAAAGCCUGAUCCAGCAACACCGCGUGCACGAUGACGGCCUUCGGGUUGUAAAGUGCUUUUAGAGGAGAUGAGAAAGGACAGUAUCCUCUGAAUAAGCCUCGGCGAACUACGUGCCAGCAGCCGCGGUAAAACGUAGGAGGCAAGCGUUAUCCGGAUUUAUUGGGCGUAAAGCGCGUGCAGGCGGUCUAGCAAGUUGGAUGUGAAAGCUCCCGGCUCAACUGGGAGAGGUCGUUCAAUACUGUUAGACUAGAGAAUAGGAGAGGGAGGUGGAAUUCCGGGUGUAGUGGUGAAGUGCGUAGAUAUCCGGAGGAACACCAGUGGCGAAAGCGGCCUCCUGGACUAUUUCUGACGCUAAGACGCGAAAGCUAGGGUAGCAAACGGGAUUAGAUACCCGUGUAGUC
RNAcentral lists this ribosomal RNA (440 nucleotides) under uncultured bacterium. Its description in RNAcentral is "partial 16S ribosomal RNA". It matches the Rfam family "Bacterial small subunit ribosomal RNA", at positions 339 to 795 of the family's 1533-position model. The record is from RNAcentral.